This 468-nucleotide ribosomal RNA is filed under the name uncultured bacterium. Its description in RNAcentral is "partial 16S ribosomal RNA". It matches the Rfam family "Bacterial small subunit ribosomal RNA", at positions 28 to 507 of the family's 1533-position model. The record is from RNAcentral.
GACGAACGCUGGCGGCGUGCUUAACACAUGCAAGUCGAACGGAAAGGCCCUUCUUUUGUGGUGUGCUCGAGUGGCGAACGGGUGAGUAAUACGUGAGUAACCUGCCCUUGACUUUGGGUUAACUUCAGGAAACUGGGGCUAAUACCGGAUAGGAGCUCCUGCUGCAUGGUGGGGGUUGGAAAGUUUCGGCGGUUGGGGAUGGACUCGCGGCUUAUCAGCUUGUUGGUGGAGUAGUGGCUUACCAAGGCUUUGACGGGUAGCCGGCCUGAGAGGGUGACCAGCCACAUUGGGACUGAGAUACGGCCCAGACUCCUACGGGAGGCAGCAGGGGGGAAUAUUGCACAAUGGGCGGAAGCCUGAUGCAGCAACGCCGCGUGCGGGAUGACGGCCUUCGGGUUGUAAACCGCUUUCGCCUGUGACGAAGCGUGAGUGACGGUAAUGGGUAAAGAAGCACCGGCUAACUACGUG